Molecule: ribosomal RNA, 465 nt
Filed under: uncultured bacterium
Lineage: Bacteria
Description: partial 16S ribosomal RNA
Rfam family: Bacterial small subunit ribosomal RNA
Source: RNAcentral
GACGAACGCUGGCGGCGUGCUUAACACAUGCAAGUCGUACGGUAAGGCCCUUUCGGGGGUACACGAGUGGCGAACGGGUGAGUAACACGUGCGUAACUUGCCCACCACUUUGGGUUAACGCUCGGCAACUGGUGCUAAUUCAUGAUAUGUGCUCCUGCCGCCUGGUUGGUGUUGGAAAGCUCCGGCGGUUGUGGGUGGACUCGCGGCCUAUCAGCUUGGUGGUGGGGUGGGGGGCUACCAAGGCGGCCACGGGUAGCCGGCCUGAGAGGGUGAGCGGCCACAAUGGGGCCGGGAUACGGGCCAGAAUCCUACGGGGGGCAGCAGUGGGGAAUAUUGCACAAUGGGCGCGAGCCUGAUGCAGCAACGCCGCGUGCGGGAUGACGGCCUUCGGGUUGUAAACCGCUUUCAGCAGGGACGAAGCUGUGUGUGACGGUACCGGCAGAAGAAGCACCGGCUAACUACGUG